AAGACUAUUCAUAAAAUUACUAUAGCAAUUAACUUUUAUUUCGAUGGAUGAAAUAUUGUACAAGUAAAACGUAAUUAUUUGUUCAACAACACUUGAUGGCAUUUCCUUAGCACCUUUACGUGCGGUUAUUGUUAGUUUUUGACCAUUGUUGAGUAUGAUAAUGUAAAAUCAACAAAAGAAUAAGUACAUGUCCAUAUUCUCGAUUUUAAUACAAUAUUUUAUCAGCGAGUUAUCCAGUAGUAAAAUUAAAACGACAAAAUCGUUUCCAUAGUACAGUAUUGAUCUGUAAAAUCUCAAAAUACCCGGAGGUCUGUCAUUAAUGUUGAAUUUAUCGUCUAAAGGAUUCUAUUUUUUCAUCAUUAUUAAUACUUUUAGUAAAACGCCGGAUUCAACAACUUAUUUAUGGUUCCGGUCAAUAUGUAGCUAUUCGACAUUAAUAAGAGGUCAUACAAUCACUAUAAGUUGAGAAGAAAAUAACAAUAUAAAGAAAAUUUAAAUCAGAGAUAUAAUUAGGUUUUUUUAUGGAAAGGGACAUCAAAAAAUUUGUUGACUACUUUAUUCCAAUUAAAAAAAAUUAAAUGUUAGUUUCACCGUGUAUUUCAUUUUUUUGUGGAGGGGGGGGGUAACUAUUAUCUCUAUAUUACCUGACUACGUCCCUAAUUGGAACUAAAUCAGCAGAAUAGCAAACUAGUAUAAUGUAACAAGCUAUUCGUACA
This is a long non-coding RNA of Daktulosphaira vitifoliae (grape phylloxera), 716 nucleotides long. RefSeq lists it as uncharacterized. The transcript is spliced from 3 exons. NCBI's taxonomy places the organism in Eukaryota, Metazoa, Arthropoda, Insecta, Hemiptera, Phylloxeridae. The record is from RefSeq and is a predicted model, not a curated record.